GAAAAUGGGGGAGUAGCGUCUAAUAAUGGAUAGAUGGUUACAAGAAGAAAACUAACUCCCUAUGACUACUAUAUUACUAGUUAUCAGAUGAAACUACGACAUUUUCCAACUCUCAUUAUUUCUCAUAUUGGAAAGUAGGAAUUUUUGUGAGGAAGGGAGAGACUCUAAGGAUCAAUCGGAAUCCCAGACAGGACACAUCUCUUUAGAGACCUAAUCAAGUAAGUACCUAAUCUAGUAUUGUCUUUUCCUUUUCUACCUUCAAAACUUGUUAAUUUCCUAUAUCAAUUAUUUGUUAUAUAAGAAUAAUU
RNAcentral lists this long non-coding RNA (308 nucleotides) under Coffea arabica (coffee). RNAcentral's name for it is "long non-coding RNA (CARA_LNC007150)". The record is from RNAcentral. Lineage: Eukaryota; Viridiplantae; Streptophyta; Magnoliopsida; Gentianales; Rubiaceae.